This is a long non-coding RNA of Talpa occidentalis (Iberian mole), 773 nucleotides long. RefSeq lists it as uncharacterized. NCBI's taxonomy places the organism in Eukaryota, Metazoa, Chordata, Mammalia, Eulipotyphla, Talpidae. The record is from RefSeq and is a predicted model, not a curated record. The transcript has 3 exons.
UCCCAGCGCCAUUCUCCAGGCUGCUCUGUGUCCCAGCGGCUGACCUGCAGGGACCCCGUCCCCAGGGUCUUCCAGAUCUGCCAGGGAGUGGUUCUGGCAUGCCAGGGACAAGGCAGGCGCUGGAGGUGGGGUGCGAUGGAGGAGGAAGGUGGGAGGACACAAAUGACGUGGCCCCUCAGCCGAGCAGGCAGCUUUCGGCCUCACCUGGUCAGCCCCGGGCUCAGCGGCGUCACUAAAGUGUCACUAUAUUACAACUGAAGAGUUCCCUGUGCACACAACCGUACUCAGAGGUUCAGGCUAAGUAAAAGUGGUCUCUCUCUCUCUCUCUCUCUCUUAUCUCCACCCCACCCCAGUCUAGUCAGGUCAUCCAUGCAACCCACAAGCCUCAUCCCAGUGUACAAGGGAGAGAAGCAAACACCUUUCCUAUCUAGGAAAUCAAGGCUGGAAUUUAAGGACCUUAACUUAAGGUGACAGAAUCAUUUUCCUUUGGAUCGUCGCCAGGACCACAGAGGUGACCCCCAGCUCCUGCUCGUCACGAGCAGAUGCUCUCGGGAAACGACACGACAGAGCACACUGAGACAGACGUCCAGGCCCUUCAGCUCGCAAAGAGCAGAGUCCAGUCCAGAACCACAAGCCAUGGACAGGCGCAAACCUGCAUGCUACCCCAUGCCCGCACUUCUGGGGGUUUAGCUAAAACAGCUGGAAUAACACAGUAACAUAGUCACUAAUGUUUCAAUUAUUACCCCCCCCAAAAAACAUGAAAAAUAAAAAAC